CCCUUAUUAUGUUUUAUGUGUCAUCGGGACAGUAGAGUCGUAGAUCACCUUGCUGGUAUACCUUGGCCAUUUUUGCAUUCCACCGUCUUGUUGACAAAAACAGACCGAAAUCCACGAGGUUCUGAUUUCGUGUCGUGUCAUUUCUAAAAAAAAAUUCCAGUGACGUGCAUAAGGCGAACCAGUUUCGUGUAUCCGUGUAGACAGGCACCAUCCCAUGUAUUUGAUUCUGUUUCUGUAUGUAUUUGGUAGAUGUUCUCUACGUGUGCCCUAAUAUGCUCGUUUCCGGACGCAAAGUGGCAAUCCGGAAGAAAACGCCGACAGCCAGCGAGAGCCGCAGGGACAUAUCCUCAAGCUACUCGUUUUCGACGGAAGUUUCUUCGUUUGCCUGCAAGUCAGCUAACUGAUGGCUUACAGGGGGUGCUAGUCCUCGCGUUGUGAGGCUAACAGCGGAGAAAAAGAAUAGUAAAAGAGGUUGGUAACUGUCUAACUGGUCGCUCCUUAAGCAGGAUUCAUUGCCAAUCGGGCGGCAAUAAAUCGUCGAACGGCUGACGCGCUCACCAUACGUGCCCUUUUCUGACGUCGCACAUCGUCGGCCCGGACUCCAUCCGUCAGCAGCUACAUUACUAGCACAAUAUACACACACAGCCCUUACUGAGAGACUCAACUGUACACACCUUUCGGCUGUGUCGAGCCCUAUAUAUAUACAAGUGCUUUUUAGAGCUCAACUAAUCCGACCUCUCUGCUCGAUGAUAAUGGGCUGUUUGGGAUACACGGGACUCGUCUGACUUUGCUCGCCUUCUUUUUCCGCCUAUGGAUUUUAUUUGAUUUUCUUCCUCUUUUGCUUCUUAUUUUUACGAUGCUCGAAAUGUCUCUCGUCACUGUCGGCGUGCGAGCUCCUGUUAACGGCCGUCAACAUCUUUCAACCCCCUUCCCGCCCCUCGUCUUGGUCGUCUUUGAAAGAGAAAAAAGAAAAAAAGGGGGGAAAAAAAAAUUGACGGCAUCUGAGAUUGUCGCCAACUACGAGGCAGAUUUUUCUUUCUUUCUUAUACUUUUACGCUUCUCUGCUCCUCAUCCUUGUAAAUGGGAUGAAGGCCAAAAAAUAUUGUAAUGAGAUUCAGCCUAGACGUGUAUGCAAAUUGUCUAACUUGCGCGCAUCCGCUACUAAGCAGCGCACGACAUAGUACAGGAUUCGUAUUAAAUAGCACCCGUGAAUGACUGCAAAUUUUUUUAGUGAAAGAUUUAAGCGUAUCAUUCAUUUGAAUUUGGAAUGAAUGAAAGAAGAAAGCAGAAAGAAAAAUAAAUGUCAAUUUCGUUCGGCUUUUGCUGUCUGUGAAGUGAUGAACUGUCGGCUCGAACUGUGGAUAAUCCACGCUGAUUGUAUGCAUAAAUGAUAAGUUUAGAUUUCCCUGCGCGUUUCUUUCUUCAAGCACAAUAUCGCGCUCGGUUCACAUCUGGGGCGUUUCUGAGCGCCACAGUUAAAGUAAAGCAACAACAGAUUUCUUCAUAUCUAUUUUGACAUACCGUACACAGUCACAAAUAGGAUAAGUAAUAUGGGCCGCCUGUUCUGGCAGUAUGUUUGCUGUCAGACUAUACAAUCUAACGUGGCGAAGGACAUUUUUGCGACAUGUUGCUGUGCUAGAUCAACCAGCCAUUGGGGGAAUCGGUGAAUGAAUUUAUCAAGCUCUUGAACCGAUCAAGUCAUUUAUUCUAUACCAUCUGUUCACAGCAAUAGUAUUGGUCGACAUAUUUGACAGGCAUUGGCUACCCUGUAUAAAUGCAGGAUAAAAAAAAAUCAAAAAAAUGUGUGGUAUGGGGGAGGUAGUCUUGGCCUUGCAGAACUGAGUCGUUGGAAUUAGCCAUCUGGUUACGAAUGCUAUUGAUUAUUGAAAAGAGCGAGCGAGAAGGGGAGCCAGAAGUCACAACAUUAGCGAUGAGAGGAAUUUGAUUACCCAACGGCUGUCGAAUUGACUCGUCGCAAUAAUGACAAUUUGCGACGGAUGGCAUUAAUUUCGUCAACUAUUCUUGCCGUCGUUUCGUUUUUAAGCAGUUUUUUUUUUUUUUCGUUUUUUAAGCUAUCGUUUGUGACUACGUUCGCCAAUACGUCAAUCGGGUGGGUCAUUUUGAUUUUUGGUGUGGUUCUGACAGAUCGCAGAUCGUUUAUUUUCUUACCCAUGGGUAAACAUAUCCAAACCGGUUCCAAACAAAAAAAAGGAAUCAGAUCCUAGAACCAGUUCCUGGACCCCGAUCUAAAAACCGUUUACACCGCUUUUUUACCCCAUUUACCCGGACUUCUGCCCUGACUUCUAGCCAAAUAUAUUACCAUUGUUCAAACCCUUGUUUGGCACUUUUAAAUUUUUUAUAAAAAAAAAAAAAAAAAAAAGAAUAAAAUGUUAAUGGAAAAAUUCAAGCUUAUCUUUUAAUAAAACUGAGAUUGAUUGAUAAUUUAUUUUUUUUUGUGAAUCAAGUAUGUAGAAAAUAAAGCUA
Molecule: long non-coding RNA, 2484 nt
Organism: Daphnia magna
Lineage: Eukaryota; Metazoa; Arthropoda; Branchiopoda; Diplostraca; Daphniidae
Exons: 4
Source: RefSeq, a predicted model, not a curated record